Molecule: ribosomal RNA, 484 nt
Filed under: Klebsiella pneumoniae
Lineage: Bacteria; Pseudomonadati; Pseudomonadota; Gammaproteobacteria; Enterobacterales; Enterobacteriaceae
Also listed under: 1 other name
Description: partial 23S ribosomal RNA
Rfam family: Bacterial large subunit ribosomal RNA
Source: RNAcentral
GGUUAAGCGACUAAGCGUACACGGUGGAUGCCCUGGCAGUCAGAGGCGAUGAAGGACGUGCUAAUCUGCGAAAAGCGUCGGUAAGGUGAUAUGAACCGUUAUAGCCGGCGAUGUCCGAAUGGGGAAACCCAGUGCAAUUCGUUGCACUAUCGUUAACUGAAUACAUAGGUUAACGAGGCGAACCGGGGGAACUGAAACAUCUAAGUACCCCGAGGAAAAGAAAUCAACCGAGAUUCCCCCAGUAGCGGCGAGCGAACGGGGAGCAGCCCAGAGUCUGAAUCAGCUUGUGUGUUAGUGGAACGGUCUGGAAAGUCCGACGGUACAGGGUGAUAGUCCCGUACACCAAAAUGCACAGGCUGUGAACUCGAAGAGUAGGGCGGGACACGUGGUAUCCUGUCUGAAUAUGGGGGGACCAUCCUCCAAGGCUAAAUACUCCUGACUGACCGAUAGUGAACCAGUACCGUGAGGGAAAGGCGAAAAGAAC